ACUGCAGGUCGCCUUAUCGCCGUGUGCAGAACUCGUUUCGGCAUCUAGUUAAAUUUUGUUUCAAAGUUUAAUCGAUUCUGAAUCAAGUUCAGAACAAGGAGGAAAGUCCGGACACCAUAGCACAAACAUAGCGGGUAACACCCGUCGUCAUGCCCUAGGCAUGAAAGGACCAGUGCAACAGAAAGCAAGUACAGUACGGCUGUAGUGAAAUCGGUAAACUCUAUGUGGUGAAAUGUUAUGUAAACCAAGGCUCGAGGGUUGUGCGCCCAAUCUUGGAGGGUAAACAGAUGGAGGUUUUUGGUAACGAAAAUCCUAGAUAAAUGAUAGGGCAUUCAAUUUCCAUUGAAUGACAGAACCCGGCUUAUAGACCUGCUUUUUUU
Molecule: non-coding RNA, 380 nt
Organism: Psychroflexus torquis ATCC 700755
Lineage: Bacteria; Pseudomonadati; Bacteroidota; Flavobacteriia; Flavobacteriales; Flavobacteriaceae
Source: Rfam